UCGGUUUCGUAUACAAUUGCAAGAGGGGUCUAAUUUGAGAGAUUUUCAAACAUGCUUCGUCAUAUAUAAUCUCUUCCUUACGCAGGAUCUUAAAAUGUCUCUGUAACCAAAAAGGUAACUGUUAUAUAUCUGAUUUUCAUCAAUUGUGACAUCCCACAAGUACCUGUUAAAUCACGUUACUGAUCUGGAACCAAUCUAACUGAGUCCUUGUCAACAUGUGAAGUUGUCUCAAGUUGAAUGUCCGAUGUUGGAGUGAAUAUAUAGCUUAGAAAGGGAGAGAGUCGGAUUCAUGGAGGUAGAACAGGAAGAAGGGGAUACAGAUGAUUGGCCACCGUAUCUACUGGAGGACCUGCCCACAGAGGCUUUACUGGAGAUAUUCCAACACCUUGACUGGCAAAACCUUAUGAAUGUGUCGCAAACCUGCUCACGCUUCAGAGACCUCUGUCUAAAGGCAACACUAUGGUUGCACAUGAAACAGUUGGAUUUCAGAAAUUGUGCCAUCCCGUAUGAUAGAAGUGUUCUACAGAUAAUGUCAAAGUGUCCAAAUAUUGAGGUGUUGUGUCUGGGGGAUGUACUACUGGAGGAAGAGGAAGAGGAAGAGGACAUAGACAUGUUAGAAACAAAUCUUGUAGGCAUCGACAAAUUCUUUCUCAGUGUCCUCAAACAGAACAUCCAUGUAAAACAGCUUCAUCUCAGCAUGCAUGGAGUCACCAACCGAUCUGUGGAGGCCAUCUGUGCGAAGUGUACAGAGCUACAACACAUUGUGAUAGAGGACAGCGAACACAUCAACAGAGAUGCACUCACUGACCUUGUCAGCAGCAUACCAGGCCUCCAGGAACUACAUGUCAACAAUUGUGGGGGUGUGAUGUAUCCAGAAAUAUCAAACCAGGAUCCUAGUCAGAAACUCGGCCUGACCACACUCAGUUUGAUCGGCACAGCUCUUUCAACAGAAGAUGUAAGCACACUCCUAAAAAACUGUCCAGCGUUGUGUGACCUUGACCUCAGUGACACCUAUGACUUAACCUGCUUUCCAAGUGAUGUAUUACCCACACAGAGGAGUGGCUUAGACACCCUGCAGUCCCUCAGACUCCGAAACAGCAGAGGACUACAGGACUUGACCCUCGAACACUGCCCACAGCUGAGGAUGGUGGACGUACGUGGAUGUAUGGGUCUCACCUCCCUUAAGCUCUCCUGUCCCAGAGUUGAAGACGUACUCCUGGAGGAUGUCAACCAACUGAAGGAACUGUUGUUGUCACCUUGUAACAUGGUCAAAGUCAAGGUCACUGAUCAUGCUAGUUUGAAGAGUCUAGAGGUCACCAGUCCUGUCCUAGAGUCUGUCAGCCUCUGUAACUGUCCACUAUUAUCAACAGAUACCUUGGUGUCUAAUGUGAAGGAGCGUCAUAACAUCACCAAACUCAUUCUAAACAAAUGUAUAAACAUUCCACCCGAGGAUCUCAACCUCUUCAUUCUGCCAGCAUUUCCAAACUUAAGUUGUCUGUCAUACAGUGGCCAUGCUUGGAGUGACGUACAGAUAACCAGCUCUCAAAUCGACACUCUGAUGUUUGGGGACUGUCUCAAUGUGACUGGUCUCCCUGUCAACAUUCCGUCCCUUCAGAAACUGUCACUGUUCCGGUGUCGUGACAUCACGGAGAGUGAGCUGGUCAAUGGCCUGCUAUUUGGAAACCAGGCUCUUGACAACCACAAUAAGUUGACCCCUACAGGGAAGACUCAGGUGACCUUGGAACCGUUCUCUGAGAACACAGGAACACCACACCUGAAGGAGCUCAUGUUGAGUGAAAUGGUCGGAAUCCAUGGCAACAUGCUGUCAGGGGCCAUGUCCAAUUUCCAGGAUCUGACGCGGCUUGAGCUGAUCAACUGUGCGCGUCUAGCUCAGUUGAGUUUAUGUGACUGCGCCAAUCUAACCCAUGUGGUGGUACGCAGUUGUAACAGACUGACCAAGAUGGUCAUUCAGCGGUCGGCACCCUGUGUACAAACUGUGGAAUUGAAGUGGUGUGGUAUGGUGGAACAUUUCUCGUGUAAUGGGAACAGACUUCACUCUCUAAGUGUAUUAGCCACCAACUUUGUACACUUCUCUGUGUCCAGUACUUCCCUGACCACACUGGCUCUAACUGGUGUCCUCACUCAGACUGGACACUCCCUCACUGUAAAUUGUCCACACCUAACCUCCCUGUCCCUACAAAAGUGUGACCUACUGACCACUGUCCAGCUGAGACACCUACUGAACCAUGCAGCUGAACUGAUCGCUGUGGAUGUCAGGGGUUCUUCCUCACUAAGUUCUCUAGAGGUUCCUGGAGGAGUAAAGACAUGCUAUCUUAUGGGCCACAGAAAGCUCCAGGAAAUCUCGGUUCAGCAUCCGAUACAGCUGUCCCGCAUCACGCUAAACAACCUUCCUAAGUUUGUUCCAAACCAGCGUAUGACCCUCCUGAAGGCCUGUGAGGAUACCCUGACUGUGUUAGACUUGCGAGCUAUACCAGGGGAGACAAAUCUUGUGAUUCAACUGAAAAAUUUAGAAUCAUUGACACUUGAUCAGGGCCUCUACCUCGACCGUCUCGAGAUUCUUUGCCCGAAGUUGACCUACCUAAGGAUACAGGGUUGUCCAAAACUUUGGCAUCUGACCAUAGAACUGGACCGACUGUCCCAGCUACAAAUUACACACAGCUCACCACUGCUAGCCCUAAGGUCCAUGGAGCUACAUACAUCACGCGUCACCUACCUCGCCAAGGUCAUAGCAUACUACUGUCCCAAGUUGGAGAUUCUGAAGCUGUACAAAACCUAUGUAACUCAAGAAAUGAUCAAUAAGCUUGGUAGCCUCAUUCCAACCCUGAAGAAGUUAAGUUUAUAUGGUUGUCAUGGUUACACAAGCAUUGGGUGCGGGUCUGUGAACCCUGGUUCUACAUCUCUCUACAUCACAAGUCAGGAUAUCCCGGGCUCCUGACACCAGGUCACUCCUAUAGACUUGUCAGCUGCUGUUGACAGAAAAUGCUGCAGGGAUAGAUAACUACCCGAGAUAGACAGUAAGGCAUGCUGCAAGGAUCCCAUACCAAAAUCAGCUACCCAGGAGCACAUGUGCUGCACAUAAGUUUCACAUAAAUAGCUGAGAUAGACAAGAAGGCAUGCUGCAGGGAUAGAUAACUAGCAGAGAUAUAUAACAAGGCAUGCUGCAGGGUUAGAUAACUAGCCGAGAUAGACAAGAAGGCAUGCUGCAGGGAUAGAUAACUAGCAGAGAUAUACAACAAGGCAUGCUGCAGGGUUAGAAAACUAGCCGAGAUAGACAACAAGGCAUGAUGCAGGGAUAGAUAACUAGCCGAGAUAGACAACAAGGCAUGCUGCAGGGAUGGACAGUUGGGAAUGCUGUACGGGGACAAAAGGCUGGCUAUAGAGAAACACAUCCAUGUGUGCUGCAGAGAUUGACAACUUGGUAUGCUACAAAGAUAAUCAACUAUACAUGCUGCAGAGAUUAUAUUACUAGGUGUGCUGUAGAGAUUGAUAACUUGGUAUGCUACAAGUAUAAUCAACUAUACAUGCUGCAGAGAUUAUAUUACUAGGUGUGUUGUAGAGACAGUUUCACUUCGGCAUGUUGCAGACCUGCCAAUCAGCCAAACAAACAACUAAUAAUGAUGCCAUACUACUUCAUAUCACUGAGCAUUAUGUAAAACAUGAACAUCAACUUUAAACAUGAAAUACUGUACUAGGUUUUGAUCAUAUUAUUCUGAUGUAAUGAUUUUAAACCACAAAAUUUGAAUUUAAACCAUAAUCCCUAUGUACAUAAAUGUUAAUACAAGACCAUGUAUCCCAGCAGCUCCAUUAAAUUUGGGUAACCUUAAGCUCAUUUCCUGUCGUUGAAAAGUAUAAGGUCUUCCAAGGUAGCAUCACACUUUAAAGCAAACUUCUACCGUAAAAGUGGAAAUUAUUGCGUGUGGAAAUGUUCGGGUUGUCUCACUGUAAAGUGGAAUGUUCUCAUCAGCAAUAAGUCUUUAUUAUUCUAUUUACCUUUAAAUGGUCUAGAUCAUCUGUAUAUAAAUAUUCAUAUUUGAUAUUUUACCGCCAAUAUACUAAACAUAAAAAUUUCCACUUUUAUAGUAUUUUAUAGUAUAGCGAAUAUAUAUGUUCAUUUAUAUAUUGCUCAGUACCAUUACAAUGGCUUGUUAGUGCCAUAGAGGCUAUAAGGCAGCUCCAGGGUAGAUAUUUUCCCCUAAUGCUACUAUGCACAUAUCUUACACCUAAUAGUAAACCUUUAUACAUGUGUGAAAAUUAAACAUUGAUUUUGUGAUUUUUAAUUCAAAAUUAACCUAAUAACCUUGAACAAGUAAUUCAAGUAUCAUUCACUUAUGCUUGUUAAAUGAUGUAUGUAAAGCCCCCUCCCCAAAUCUCCCUUCCCUUCAGUAUCAUUCACUUAUCCCUGUUAGAUGAUGUAUGUACAGCCCCCUCUCCAAAUCUUCUUCCCUUCAGUAUCAUUCACUUAUCCCUGUUAGAGGAUGUAUGUACAGCCCCCUCCACAAAUCUCCCUUCCCUUCAGUAUCAUUCACUUAUCCCUGUUAGAGGAUGUAUGUACAGCGCCCUCCCCAAAUCUCCCUUCCCUUCAGUAUCAUUCACUUAUCCCUGUUAGAGGAUUUAUGUACAGCCCCCUCCCCAAAUCUCCCUUCCCUUCAGUAUCAUUAACUUAUCCCUGUUAGAUGAUGUAUGUACAGCCCCCUCCACAAAUCUCCCUACCCUUCAGUAUCAUUAACUUAUCCCUGUUAGAUGAUGUAUGUACAGCCCCCUCCCCAAUUCUCCCUUCCCUUCCAGUAUCAUUCACUUAUCCCUGUCAGAUUAUGUAUGUACAGCCCCCUCCCCAAAUCUCCCAUCCCUUUCUAGUAUAAGGUGACACAUCACCAGUGUUAGGUUGUGGUUUUUGAAUGGUUUAAACAUUUCUUAUAUAGUAACCAGUUGUUGAUGUUUGUUAAGGGUGAUAGACUGUGGUGUUACCACUGGAGAGCAUGACAGAUUAUAGGGAUCAGAAACACAGGAAUAUGUCUCCCCUUAGAAGAAGAGAAGCAUGUAUAAGCUUUUACUAGUUACAUUUUAUUCAGGCCGUUACUUUUAAAAUAGAUUUCCUGAUGAAACUUGAUCACAGGUGUAGAGUGCAUUGUUAUAAGGUCACCAUUACCUUGGCCUCUUGGCCAAAGGUCAAAUAAAUGUCAACUUUCAGUUGAAAUUUAAAAAAAUAAAUUUGUUGUAGACAUUGUGAUGAAACUUGAAGCUCCCCUUCAUCACACACAGGUGUGCAGUUCAAUGUUAUUCUGUCAUAGUAAUAUUCACCACCGGGUAUAUGAAAUUCAAAACAUUUUAGUUAAAUCUUGUCUGGGGUUAGAGUUAAGGGAGACAUAUUGUGUAAGUACUGGUUCUUCUAAUAAUUUCUUGACCGUGCCGUAACUUUUAAACCAUUAAAGAUGUCUUGAUUAAGCUUGCAGUAUAUCUGCAUCUCACAAAGACGAUAAGCAGUGCACUAUUAUUAGGUCACUGACCUUGACCUUAAGGUCAAAGUGCAAACUUUUCAGUGGUGACUCUCAAGGUAGUGUGUCAGCAUCUCCACAACUUUUUAACUGCAUUUAAUACAUGUAUGCAUUUAUAAGAAGGCAGUUCAUCUUAAACCUAAAUGUACAUAAGAGAAUUGUAGAUAAAUGGUUAUUUGACAUAUUUCCACAUUUUUGUUUCGCAAGAGAAAGGGAGAAAUGUUUUUUGUUCACGAAAACAAAUCUCUAAAUGUUACCUUGAACUCAAAGGUUAAAUACAAUGUAAAAUCAAAUAUGCAUAUGGCUAAUAGGAGACCUGAUUUUCUUUGCAUGUUACCGGGUAUAUCAGAUUCUCUAGCUUGAAAUUGAAAAAUAUGAUAUUUUUUUGUGUAUGAAAAUUGAUAAAAAGCACUCAUUUUUUUUCAAACUUUUUGUUUUAACAGCAUAAUAUCAGGUGGCGAAAAAUGAAGUCCAUUUGUCCUGCAAAUGAGAUAGAAAAAUCUCAGACUGGAAUUUUUUUUUUAUACAUUGUACCUACAAAGUGUAUACUACGUUGACUUAAAUGAUCUCCAAAAAAAAUCAAAAUAUCCUUCUGCCAAGGAAAAAGAAAAAGUAUUUUGAUAUUCCAAAUGAUUUGUAAGAGUUGUCAAAAUAAACUGUUAUUAAAUGUGUGCAUCAUAUUACAUGUACUAUGUUUUGAUAACAUGGUGUGAAUUUCGAAUGACAUUACCUCUUUAAACGAUCUUAUUUAUGGUUCAUUGUUAGCAAUCAUAAAACAAUUGUACUGUUUGUGAAUGUUGACUCCAUUUGUUCACAUUUAAAUAAAUACCGUAAAACG
RNAcentral lists this unclassified non-coding RNA (6351 nucleotides) under Mizuhopecten yessoensis (Yesso scallop). Its description in RNAcentral is "f-box/LRR-repeat protein 15-like, transcript variant X3". Lineage: Eukaryota; Metazoa; Mollusca; Bivalvia; Pectinida; Pectinidae. The record is from RNAcentral.